GAUGUCGGCUCAUCGCAUCCUGGGGCUGUAGUCGGUCCCAAGGGUUGGGCUGUUCGCCCAUUAAAGCGGUACGCGAGCUGGGUUCAGAACGUCGUGAGACAGUUCGGUCCCUAUCCGUCGUGGGCGCAGGAAAUUUGAGAGGAGCUGUCCUUAGUACGAGAGGACCGGGAUGGACGCACCGCUGGUGUACCAGUUGUCUUGCCAAAGGCAUAGCUGGGUAGCUAUGUGCGGAAGGGAUAAGUGCUGAAAGCAUCUAAGCAUGAAGCCCCCCUCAAGAUGAGAUUUCCCUGUUACUUUGUAACGUAAGAUCCCUGAAAGAUGAUCAGGUUGAUAGGUCAGAGGUGGAAGCGCGGUGACGUGUGGAGCUGACUGAUACUAAUCGAUCGAGGACUUAACCUAAUACAA
Molecule: ribosomal RNA, 405 nt
Filed under: Bacillus sp. SA1-12
Lineage: Bacteria; Bacillati; Bacillota; Bacilli; Caryophanales; Bacillaceae
Description: bacterial LSU rRNA
Rfam family: Bacterial large subunit ribosomal RNA
Source: RNAcentral